GUGGGGAAUAUUGGACAAUGGGGGAAACCCUGAUCCAGCGACGCCGCGUGAGUGAAGAAGUAUUUCGGUAUGUAAAGCUCUAUCAGCAGGGAAGAAAAUGACGGUACCUGACUAAGAAGCCCCGGCUAACUACGUGCCAGCAGCCGCGGUAAUACGUAGGGGGCAAGCGUUAUCCGGAUUUACUGGGUGUAAAGGGAGCGUAGACGGCACUGCAAGUCUGGAGUGAAAGCCCGGGGCUCAACCCCGGGACUGCUUUGGAAACUGUGGUGCUGGAGUGCAGGAGAGGUAAGUGGAAUUCCUAGUGUAGCGGUGAAAUGCGUAGAUAUUAGGAGGAACACCAGUGGCGAAGGCGGCUUACUGGACUGUAACUGACGUUGAGGCUCGAAAGCGUGGGGAGCAAACAGGAUUAGAAACCCCGGUAGUCC
Molecule: ribosomal RNA, 425 nt
Filed under: uncultured bacterium
Lineage: Bacteria
Description: partial 16S ribosomal RNA
Rfam family: Bacterial small subunit ribosomal RNA
Source: RNAcentral